This 368-nucleotide ribosomal RNA is filed under the name uncultured organism. RNAcentral describes it as "bacterial SSU rRNA". It matches the Rfam family "Bacterial small subunit ribosomal RNA", at positions 526 to 896 of the family's 1533-position model. The record is from RNAcentral.
CGAAGGUCCCAAGCGUUAUCCGGAUUUAUUGGGUUUAAAGGGUGCGUAGGCAGGCUAUUAAGUCAGUGGUGAAAGCCCCAAGCUUAACUUGGGAACUGCCAUUGAUACUGAUGGUCUUGAGUACAUUUGAGGUGGGCGGAAUGUGUCAUGUAGCGGUGAAAUGCUUAGAUAUGACACAGAACACCGAUUGCGAAGGCAGCUCACUAAACUGUAACUGACGCUGAGGCACGAAAGCGUGGGGAGCAAACAGGAUUAGAUACCCUGGUAGUCCACGCCCUAAACGAUGAUCACUCGAUGUGUGCGAUAUACUGUACGCGUCUGAGCGAAAGCAUUAAGUGAUCCACCUGGGGAGUACGAUCGCAAGAUUG